RNAcentral lists this long non-coding RNA (525 nucleotides) under Gallus gallus (chicken). The record is from RNAcentral. Lineage: Eukaryota; Metazoa; Chordata; Aves; Galliformes; Phasianidae.
GCCACCUUGUUUUCGUUAUCUUUCCCAUAGGAGAUGUUCCUGAGGGCCCCGCAGGCUUUGCGAUGGACCUCUGGCUUUGGAUGAUCGAGCAGGCCCACCAAGAUGGGGAUCCCCUUAAGGUGCCUCACGUCCUUUUUGAUUUUAUCAUUCUCGUAGCACAGGUGCUGCAAGUAGGCAGCGGCGUUAGACUUGACCGGGUCAAUCGGGUGGCUGAGCAUGGCAAUGACCUCGGGGAGGUCAGGGUCCCUCCACCUGGGGUCCUUGCGAAUGCUGUCAAUAGAGGGGGAGCGCUUCCCCAGGCGGUCGAUGCUGGCCAUGCUUCCUCGCUCUGGCUGUGCCAGCGGUGCCGCGUAGCUGCCGUGGAGGUAAGGGAUCCUCUCUUCCACCAUCUCUGUCUCAAUGGGGUCAUCAUAGCCCCUUCCUUUGUGAGGUCUUCCUCUCUCCGGCACACCUGCAGAUGUCCUUCGGUUCACAGUAGAAUAAUCAGGAUCCAGUUCAUAUCCUUCGUCAUCGACUCCAAGGCUG